Molecule: microRNA precursor, 86 nt
Organism: Fukomys damarensis (Damara mole-rat)
Lineage: Eukaryota; Metazoa; Chordata; Mammalia; Rodentia; Bathyergidae
Source: Ensembl
UGGUACUCGGAGGGAGGUUGUCCGUGGUGAGUUCGCAUUACUUAAUGAUGCCCAAUACACGGUCGACCUCUUUUCGGUAUCACAUC